RNAcentral lists this long non-coding RNA (1319 nucleotides) under Homo sapiens (human). Its description in RNAcentral is "long non-coding RNA NONHSAT207138.1". The record is from RNAcentral. Lineage: Eukaryota; Metazoa; Chordata; Mammalia; Primates; Hominidae.
GUGUUAAUAAAAGCCUUUCUGAAAAUGGUGUUGUGAGGAAGGACAUGAGGUUUGGCACUUAGGGGGUGUUCAGUAAAUGGUGGUUAUUAUUGUUAGAAUGAGAGAAAGCAAAAGAGAGCCUCAGGCAAAACAGUAAAGAACAGAGAAAACAGAACAGGAAAGAAAACAGCAUCUGUGGGCUCCAGAAGCGCCCAGAGCCCCCACCCUCCCUCGCCCACCUGCGCACUCACCCCUGAUGGCCCAGGUUCCGAGAGGCUAAGCAGGGCAGCCAGGGCCAUGGCUCACAGGAGGAUCCUGGCUCUGCGCUGGCUCCUUCAGUCUUUAGGGUGUAUUGCAAUGGCCACUGUGCGCCAGACCCCAAGGAGAAAAUGAGGCGGCGCAGGGACGGAGGAGCUCCGAAUCCAGCACUCCUUUCCCUACCCCUGUCCAGGGAGAAAGGCUGGAGAUGAAACAGCCUGAUGGGGCUCAACCAACCAGAAUACAUCAGAAGGGACGCCUCUGUGGCUGGGGAAGGAAGAUGCUAGAGCUGCUGGGAGGAAGUGGGAGAAUUGUCAGGCACCAGCAUGGCCCAGGAAGCCCCUGACUACUGCAGAGUGUAGGGGCAACUGAUAGAGGAUCUUCUUACAUUUGCUUUAUUUCAUGGUGCUGCCCAAAUUCAUGCUGUACCCUCAGCAGCAAGGAGUGGGACCAUUACUCCUGGCGUUCCCAGAUGGAACAGACACCAAGCCUGGCUUUGCCACUGAACACAAUACAGGACUGAUAAAGGAAAUAGAGGCUGCCCAUCUCUCAGUGCCACAUAUGAGAAAGGGAAGUUGUCAUUUUAUAUAUCCACUGUCAAGCAUCUUGGUAAAACAGAAGAAAGCAGGCUGGGCCUGGUGGCUCAUGCCUAUAAUCCCAGCACUUUGGGAGGCCAAGGAGGGCAGAUAGCUUGACCAGCAUGGGCAACAUGGCAAAAUCCUGUCUCUACAAAAAAAUAAAAAAAAACAAAAAAUAAAUGUAGUCCCAGGUACUGAGGAAGCUGAGGCAGGAGGAACACUUGAGCCUGGGAGGUAAAGGCUUCAGUGAGCCGUGAUAAUGCCACUGCACUCCAGCCUAGACAACAGAGUGAGACCCUGUCUCAAGAAAAAGAAAAACAAGAGGGAGGCAAUCUACUUUAUACCCAGAGAAUUUUACAUGCAAGGAAUUUGACUAUGAAUAAGCCUCCAUUGCUUAAGAGAGACUUCACUAUUUGGGAUUUUAAGAAAGAAAUACACAAACAAGCAAAUCUCAUCAGCAGAGGACUGAGAAACCAGUGUUUAUAAUACCCAGUGAUUAAUGUA